This 549-nucleotide ribosomal RNA is filed under the name uncultured bacterium. Its description in RNAcentral is "bacterial SSU rRNA". It matches the Rfam family "Bacterial small subunit ribosomal RNA", at positions 356 to 896 of the family's 1533-position model. The record is from RNAcentral.
GGGGAAUCUUCCGCAAUGGACGAAAGUCUGACGGAGCAACGCCGCGUGAGUGAUGACGGCCUUCGGGUUGUAAAGCUCUGUUAAUCGGGACGAAUGGUUCUUGUGCGAAUAGUGCGAGGAUUUGACGGUACCGGAAUAGAAAGCCACGGCUAACUACGUGCCAGCAGCCGCGGUAAUACGUAGGUGGCAAGCGUUGUCCGGAAUUAUUGGGCGUAAAGCGCGCGCAGGCGGAUCAGUUAGUCUGUCUUAAAAGUUCGGGGCUUAACCCCGUGAUGGGAUGGAAACUGCUGAUCUAGAGUAUCGGAGAGGAAAGUGGAAUUCCUAGUGUAGCGGUGAAAUGCGUAGAUAUUAGGAAGAACACCAGUGGCGAAGGCGACUUUCUGGACGAAAACUGACGCUGAGGCGCGAAAGCCAGGGGAGCGAACGGGAUUAGAUACCCCGGUAGUCCUGGCCGUAAACGAUGGGUACUAGGUGUAGGAGGUAUCGACCCCUUCUGUGCCGGAGUUAACGCAAUAAGUACCCCGCCUGGGGAGUACGACCGCAAGGUUG